AUUAGGAGAAAACAAAUAAUGCUUGAGUAGUAAGCAGCUAUAAUCUUUAAACUUAAAGGAUUUGGCGGUAUCCAAGCCUAGUUAGAGGAACCUGCACUGUAAACGAUAUUCCACGAAUGAUCUUACUUCUCUUUGUUUUCAGUAUGUAUACCUCCAUUAUAAAACAAUACUCAAAAUUACUUGUUAAAAUAGAAGGUUUUAAGAUAUUAGGUCAAGGUGCAGCUAAUAGUGAAGUAGUUGUGGGUUACAAUAUGUUAGUGAUAUACGGAUAAUAGCCAGAAUAGGGUAGUUGAAGGUGGAUUUAAUUGUAAAGUUGUUUUAAUAUGGCAGGUUGAUAGAAGUUUUAGGAUAUGU
RNAcentral lists this ribosomal RNA (354 nucleotides) under Periclimenes brevicarpalis. Its description in RNAcentral is "partial 12S ribosomal RNA". The record is from RNAcentral. Lineage: Eukaryota; Metazoa; Arthropoda; Malacostraca; Decapoda; Palaemonidae.